AGGGGGUGACGUGAGUUUAUGUUAGUAUGACACGUGGAAAGAGAAGACUUGGCUUGUGGCAGACGCGUGGUGUCUCUAAAUUAGGCUUGUGCCUGCAUUAUGGCUUCGUGUAAAUUAUCUAACGUAUAAGAAUAUGAUAAGAAAACCCCGUGACACAGAGGUUUGAAAAAAUGUCGAUUGAUGAUCACAAUUUAUACAAUGUUUAUCGUUUCACAGUUUCAGGUUUUGGCGUCAAACAACCUACCACAAACCCUUUAACGAGAGACCUUCUAAUUCCACAGGAAGGUUAGGACUUAGGAGAAUCAUCCAGCUUUCUCCUUAAACCACCUAGCUGACUCCUUUUACGUUCAAUCAUAUCACAGGCAAGUCAUAUAAAUGAAACUGAGACUGAAGUUGA
RNAcentral lists this long non-coding RNA (397 nucleotides) under Brassica napus (rape). RNAcentral describes it as "long non-coding RNA (BNAP_LNC017951)". Lineage: Eukaryota; Viridiplantae; Streptophyta; Magnoliopsida; Brassicales; Brassicaceae. The record is from RNAcentral.